UGGGGAAUUUUGGACAAUGGGCGAAAGCCUGAUCCAGCAAUGCCGCGUGUGUGAAGAAGGCCUUCGGGUUGUAAAGCACUUUUGUCCGGAAAGAAAUCCUUGGCUCUAAUACAGUCGGGGGAUGACGGUACCGGAAGAAUAAGCACCGGCUAACUACGUGCCAGCAGCCGCGGUAAUACGUAGGGUGCAAGCGUUAAUCGGAAUUACUGGGCGUAAAGCGUGCGCAGGCGGUUUGCUAAGACCGAUGUGAAAUCCCCGGGCUCAACCUGGGAACUGCAUUGGUGACUGGCAGGCUAGAGUAUGGCAGAGGGGGGUAGAAUUCCACGUGUAGCAGUGAAAUGCGUAGAGAUGUGGAGGAAUACCGAUGGCGAAGGCAGCCCCCUGGGGCCAAUACUGACGCUCAUGCACGAAAGCGUGGGGAGCAAACAGGAUUAGAUACCCUGGUAGUCCAGCGCCCUAAACGAUGUCAACUAGUUGUUGGGAUUCAUUCUUAGUAACGUAGCUAACGCGUGAAGUUGACCGCCUGGGGAGUACGGUCGC
This 540-nucleotide ribosomal RNA is filed under the name uncultured bacterium. RNAcentral's name for it is "partial 16S ribosomal RNA". It matches the Rfam family "Bacterial small subunit ribosomal RNA", at positions 355 to 889 of the family's 1533-position model. The record is from RNAcentral.